AGAUGGCUUUCUCAGAGGCUCUAUAUGGUUCAGUAACUGAGCAAUACAAUGUGCUGAGAUCUGCCAUACAUCAAAACCAAGGACUUGAUGCAUCAAACGCUGCAGUCUCGUUGUCACAGCCCUGGAAGUAAUAAACUUUUGUAGCUUUUCCAUGUAAUGCUCCUUUAUUCUCAGGCUAUGUGAACUAUUUUCAAGCCUUCCAUACAAUUGACAUUGUGGUUAGUCCAGUGACCUUAGUCUAUUAUGCAUUGCAAGGGUAAGAGAGAAAGUUCCAGUUUCCAAUAUGAAUUUGGCUGCCUUCUGUUGGAUGUCUCUAUGCUUGCAAUUUUCUGCAGAAGAAAUUACUUGUGGUAGUGGAUAUAUAAAAUGGAGAUCAAUUAGAUUUUUGGGAUAAGCGGCUCACUGUACAGAAUUUUUGGGAGAAGCCUGCCCCCCCCNCCCCCUCCAUUGCCUUGUAUCUCUAACUUCUCUUGGUAUAUAUGUGUUGUAUUCUUUUAAUCAGUUCCUUAGCUUGUACUUAAACAUUUUAUUUUUUCAUAUAAAGAAACUCAACACAGAGCCGUUGUAAUU
Non-coding RNA from Nelumbo nucifera (sacred lotus), 570 nucleotides. Lineage: Eukaryota; Viridiplantae; Streptophyta; Magnoliopsida; Proteales; Nelumbonaceae. The record is from RefSeq and is a predicted model, not a curated record.